This 218-nucleotide ribosomal RNA is filed under the name uncultured bacterium. RNAcentral's name for it is "partial 16S ribosomal RNA". It matches the Rfam family "Bacterial small subunit ribosomal RNA", at positions 524 to 739 of the family's 1533-position model. The record is from RNAcentral.
UACGUAGGUGGCAAGCGUUGUCCGGAUUUACUGGGCGUAAAGCGUAUGCAGGCGGACUGUUAAGUAGGAAGUGAAAGGUUGGAGCUCAACUCUAACACUGCUUCCUAUACUGGCAGUCUUGAGUGGCGGAGAGGAAGAUGGAACGACACGUGUAGCGGUGAAAUGCGUUGAUAUGUGUCGGAACACCAAUGGGCGAAAGCAAUCUUCAUGGACGCAAA